Non-coding RNA from Micropterus salmoides (largemouth bass), 394 nucleotides. NCBI's taxonomy places the organism in Eukaryota, Metazoa, Chordata, Actinopteri, Centrarchiformes, Centrarchidae. The record is from the annotation of a RefSeq genome assembly.
ACUGACAUUUACAGUGUAGACUGGACAGAGACAACCAGAUUUAAAAUGAUCAUAUCUGAUUAUUUGGUUGUUUUUCUCAUCCUGUCUAUUAACUUGGCAGGUACUGAGGCUCAAACACUGACAGAAUCUGAAUCAGUGGUUAAAAGACCUGGAGAAUCCCACAGACUGACGUGUACAUAUUCAGGGUUUGGUGGCAAUUAUGACAACGCUUGGAUCAGACAGGCUGCUGGAAAGGGACUUGAAUGGAUCGCUUAUAUCAGCAGUGGCAGUAGCAGCAAAUACUACUCUGUCAGUUCAAGGCCGGUUUACCAUCUCCAGAGACAACAGCAGACAGCAGGUGUAUCUGCAGAUGAACAGUCUGAAGACUGAAGAUUCUGCUGUUUAUUAUUGUGCU